GAUGAACGCUGGCGGCGUGCCUAAUACAUGCAAGUCGAGCGAACAGAUGAGGAGCUUGCUCCUCUGACGUAGCGGCGGACGGGUGAGUAACACGUGGAUAACCUACCUAUAAGACUGGGAUAACUUCGGGAAACCGGAGCUAAUACCGGAUAAUAUAUUGAACCGCAUGGUUCAAUAGUGAAAGACGGUUUUGCUGUCACUUAUAGAUGGAUCCGCGCCGCAUUAGCUAGUUGGUAAGGUAACGGCUUACCAAGGCAACGAUGCGUAGCCGACCUGAGAGGGUGAUCGGCCACACUGGAACUGAGACACGGUCCAGACUCCUACGGGAGGCAGCAGUAGGGAAUCUUCCGCAAUGGGCGAAAGCCUGACGGAGCAACGCCGCGUGAGUGAUGAAGGUCUUCGGAUCGUAAAACUCUGUUAUUAGGGAAGAACAAAUGUGUAAGUAACUAUGCACGUCUUGACGGUACCUAAUCAGAAAGCCACGGCUAACUACGUG
This 496-nucleotide ribosomal RNA is filed under the name uncultured bacterium. Its description in RNAcentral is "partial 16S ribosomal RNA". It matches the Rfam family "Bacterial small subunit ribosomal RNA", at positions 28 to 507 of the family's 1533-position model. The record is from RNAcentral.